Molecule: long non-coding RNA, 892 nt
Filed under: Medicago truncatula (barrel medic)
Lineage: Eukaryota; Viridiplantae; Streptophyta; Magnoliopsida; Fabales; Fabaceae
Description: lncRNA gene6512
Source: RNAcentral
GCUAAAAUUUCGCCUUUAUAUACGACCCAUCAUGUCUCCCCUUGUCCCUAAGCUUCUUCACUCUCACUCACUAGCUCUUUCAAGUGUUUCUUCUAUACCUUGGCCAUUUAUCUUACAUUAUCAAUCUUAAAUUUUUCUUACCACCCAAAACAAUUAACAUGGCCGGUAAGAAUGUGUCUUUGACAGUUACGGCAGCUGCGGCAGAAGAUGGUAGCUUUGUCGAAGACGACGAUGGUGUAGUGUGGAAGGGUAAUUCAUUAAAUAUUGUUAAACACUAAUGGUGUAACAACCAUCAACACAAAAAAAAGGCUUUGCAAUUACACUCUCCCGAAUUUCUAACACAUCAGAAUUGGGAGAGUGUGAAUAUUGCAUUGCGGGGAAUUGAGGGUAGCGGUCCGAAUUACCUUUAACUUUUACUACUUUAUUUUUAUUUUGUAUGUUGCAUCUUUCUUUAUGUAUUUGUCACUGAUUUUCUUUAAUUUUCAUUUUACUUUUGAUUAUGUUUUUAUGUUAUGAUUAUGAUGGAAUCAUGGGAUGUAAGAGAUGCAUACGAGGUUGCUGGUUUGGUACUUGAUGCUUCUGGCAUGCAUCACUUACACUCAUUAAUGUACUAUGUUUUGUUAUGAGUUUGACUCUACUAUAUAAAAGGAAAUGACUUUGUUUUUUUUUCUUUAUCUUCUUCUCUUGAAUCUUCAUUCUGUUGUUCUAAUAUGCUUUCUAUUUGCUUUUUCCUUCGAUGGAGUGAAACAAAGUAGGCAAUGAUAAGAUACCAAAUGUCCAAAAGAAAUUAAUAUUAAAAAAAGAAAGAAUGAGAAAGAAGUAAAGCAACAGAAAAAGCAGAGUAUGUCUUUGAUGAAAGAAAAGCUGCACAAUUUGGUUUUUAAUCUCUCUU